This 484-nucleotide ribosomal RNA is filed under the name uncultured bacterium. RNAcentral's name for it is "partial 16S ribosomal RNA". It matches the Rfam family "Bacterial small subunit ribosomal RNA", at positions 30 to 507 of the family's 1533-position model. The record is from RNAcentral.
AUUGAACGCUGGCGGCAGGCCUAACACAUGCAAGUCGAGCGGAUGAAGGGAGCUUGCUCCUGGAUUCAGCGGCGGACGGGCGAGUAAUGCCUAGGAAUCUGCCUUGUAGUGGGGGAUAACGUCCGGAAACGGGCGCUAAUACCGCAUACGUCCUGAGUGAGAAAGUGGGGGAUCUUCGGACCUCACGCUAUCAGAUGAGCCUAGGUCGGAUUAGCUAGUUGGUAGGGUAAAGGCCUACCAAGGCGACGAUCCGUAACUGGUCUGAGAGGAUGAUCAGUCACACUGGAACUGAGACACGGUCCAGACUCCUACGGGAGGCAGCAGUGGGGAAUAUUGGACAAUGGGCGAAAGCCUGAUCCAGCAAUGCCGCGUGUGUGAAGAAGGUCUUCGGAUUGUAAAGCACUUUAAGUUGGGAGGAAGGGCAGUAAGUUAAUACCUUGCUGUUUUGACGUUACCAACAGAAUAAGCACCGGCUAACUUCGUG